UACGUAGGGGGCAAGCGUUAUCCGGAAUUACUGGGUGUAAAGGGUGAGUAGGCGGUUAGGCAAGCCAUAUGUGAAAGUCUAUGGCUCAACCAUAGGAAUGCAUAAGGAACUGCGUAACUAGAGUACAGGAGAGGCAAGUGGAAUUCCUAGUGUAGCGGUGAAAUGCGUAGAUAUUAGGAGGAACACCAGUGGCGAAGGCGACUUGCUGGACUGGGAACUGACGCUGAGUCACGAAAGCGUGGGGAGCAAACAGG
RNAcentral lists this ribosomal RNA (254 nucleotides) under uncultured bacterium. RNAcentral describes it as "partial 16S ribosomal RNA". It matches the Rfam family "Bacterial small subunit ribosomal RNA", at positions 524 to 776 of the family's 1533-position model. The record is from RNAcentral.